This 302-nucleotide ribosomal RNA is filed under the name uncultured Sphingomonas sp. RNAcentral describes it as "bacterial SSU rRNA". It matches the Rfam family "Bacterial small subunit ribosomal RNA", at positions 108 to 428 of the family's 1533-position model. Lineage: Bacteria; Pseudomonadati; Pseudomonadota; Alphaproteobacteria; Sphingomonadales; Sphingomonadaceae. The record is from RNAcentral.
GCGUAACGCGUGGGAAUCUGCCCUUAGGUUCGGAAUAACUCCCUGAAAGGGGUGCUAAUACCGGAUAAUGUCUUCGGACCAAAGAUUUAUCGCCUUUGGAUGGGCCCGCGUUGGAUUAGCUUGUUGGUGGGGUAAAGGCCUACCAAGGCGACGAUCCAUAGCUGGUCUUAGAGGAUGAUCAGCCACACUGGGACUGAGACACGGCCCAGACUCCUACGGGAGGCAGCAGUGGGGAAUAUUGGACAAUGGGCGAAAGCCUGAUCCAGCAAUGCCGCGUGAGUGAUGAAGGCUUAGGGUUGUAA